UGUAGUCAUAUGCUUGUCUCAAAGAUUAAGCCAUGCAUGUCUAAGUAUAAGCAAUCUAUACUGUGAAACUGCGAAUGGCUCAUUAAAUCAGUUAUCGUUUAUUUGAUAGUACCUUACUACAUGGAUACCUGUGGUAAUUCUAGAGCUAAUACAUGCUAAAAACCCCGACUUCGGGAGGGGUGUAUUUAUUAGAUAAAAAACCAAUGCCCCUCGGGGCUCCUUGGUGAAUCAUAAUAACUUAACGAAUCGCAUGGCCUUGCGCCGGCGAUGGUUCAUUCAAAUUUCUGCCCUAUCAACUUUCGAUGGUAGGAUAGUGGCCUACCAUGGUGGCAACGGGUAACGGGGAAUUAGGGUUCGAUUCCGGAGAGGGAGCCUGAGAAACGGCUACCACAUCCAAGGAAGGCAGCAGGCGCGCAAAUUACCCAAUCCCGACACGGGGAGGUAGUGACAAUAAAUACUGAUACGGGGCUCUUUUGGGUCUCGUAAUUGGAAUGAGUACAAUCUAAAUCCCUUAACGAGGAACAAUUGGAGGGCAAGUCUGGUGCCAGCAGCCGCGGUAAUUCCAGCUCCAAUAGCGUAUAUUAAAGUUGUUGCAGUUAAAAAGCUCGUAGUUGAACCUUGGGUCUGGCUGGCCGGUCCGCCUCACCGCGAGUACUGGUCCGGCUGGACCUUUCCUUCUGGGGAAUCCCAUGGCCUUCACUGGCUGUGGGUGGAACCAGGACUUUUACUGUGAAAAAAUUAGAGUGUUCAAAGCAGGCCUUUGCUCGAAUACAUUAGCAUGGAAUAAUAGAAUAGGACGUGCGGUUCUAUUUUGUUGGUUUCUAGGACCGCCGUAAUGAUUAAUAGGGAUAGUCGGGGGCGUCAGUAUUCAGCUGUCAGAGGUGAAAUUCUUGGAUUUGCUGAAGACUAGCUACUGCGAAAGCAUUCGCCAAGGAUGUUUUCAUUAAUCAGGGAACGAAAGUUAGGGGAUCGAAGACGAUCAGAUACCGUCGUAGUCUUAACCAUAAACUAUGCCGACUAGGGAUCA
This 1027-nucleotide ribosomal RNA is filed under the name uncultured Aspergillus. RNAcentral's name for it is "SSU rRNA". It matches the Rfam family "Eukaryotic small subunit ribosomal RNA", at positions 19 to 1055 of the family's 1831-position model. The record is from RNAcentral. Lineage: Eukaryota; Fungi; Ascomycota; Eurotiomycetes; Eurotiales; Aspergillaceae.